CUUCGUUGGUUUUUAAUGUUCCCCUUCACGUCUUGGUUUGGGGUAUAAUGGAAGUGGUUUUCAAUACAUGACAACUGAACAGAGAGAUUCCAACUGAGGUAUUUUCCCCUUUUUGACUUUAACAUCAAUUAUUUAACAACAAUCAUUUCCCCAGGUAGAAUAUUCGCACAGAUUGCAACGUUCAAAUACAGCGACUGACUGAUUCUUUCCCACUAAAAAAAAUAAAAAAUUAAUUUUGCCAAAACAUGUUACGCCGAAUAUACUGGAACAAGAUGUGCUUGAAACCACAGAUCAACUCUGUUUUAAUCCCACAAUAUGAUUCAUAAUCUACAUUAUGUUUUCCAUUUUGGGAAUUCAAUCAACAUGAGCAGAUUUACAUUUAGACACAAACAAAAAGCUAAACGUCAGUUUUUACCAAGACUUCCCAGCAUCCGUCAUCACUCGCACAAUUCAGCCUAAUAAAUAAGAGAUAUCAUCCAGCAUAUGGACGCGCAAUAAAUGAGAACACCCCCGACACUUCAUUUUCACCACGUCGGCUCCUCUGAGGACUUUUCCUUUUUUGAUAGUUUGUUCUUUACAAAUCCAGUGAGUUUGUUCUCUCAAGCCCUGAUGAUUAAAGCAUCAUCCGUCCUGCUGAAAAUGACGACAAAUGCUCAGUUCAGCCACAAGUUCAACUUUAAGAUUAUUCCCCAAACCCCUAAAAUAUAAAACUGAAAAUGUUCAUGUUCUUUAGAUUUAAAAUGUUUAUCACUUAGUACUUUUAUUCAAUUAAUAACCAUAAACAUCAUUACUGUUUAUAACAAAUUCAGUAAAUGAGGAAUAUUUCAACUUGAUUCAAGUCUCUAACAUUUAAGUCCAAUAGUUCCAAUAAAAGAACACAUGAAAGCCACCUAAUGGGUAGAAUUAAUAUCCCAUUUGUAUCUUUCUUGUGAAAUGCCUGUCACCGAGUGUUCCUUUAAAUUGCUUGUUUCCUCCAACCAGCCGGGCAAAGAUACCGAGUGAACAGUGUUAAUAAACACGAGAACAGCAGCAAUGUAUUUCAUUCAAGGAGCUGAAAGGAUCAUUCUGGGCAUUUCUUCUUUAAAGGACAGUAGUAAUUUGUGGAUUAUUCCAAUUGUUGCUGAUUAGUUUUCCACUGAUUAGUUCAUCCAGUCAUCAAAUUAUUAUUUAAAACACCGGUCCAUGAACAUAAACUGUGUGUGUGUCGAGGCCGUGACAUUAAAGCAGAAACAGAGUGACGCUUGACGAGGUGAGGUUCAUUUUUACAGCAAACAGAAAUCACAACAAAUUUAGAAUAAAUAACUAUUCCAAUCGUAUAUUUCAUUGGUAGUAUUCCUUCUUCUUAAAUAGUUUUGGUUCAAAUCCUUAUGGGACGGAGGGUCUCGGG
This is a long non-coding RNA of Gasterosteus aculeatus aculeatus (three-spined stickleback), 1387 nucleotides long. The record is from Ensembl. Lineage: Eukaryota; Metazoa; Chordata; Actinopteri; Perciformes; Gasterosteidae.